GACGAACGCUGGCGGCGUGCUUAACACAUGCAAGUCGAACGGAAAGGCCCUGCUUGCCGGGUACUCGAGUGGCGAACGGGUGAGUAACACGUGGGUGAUCUGCCCUGCACUUCGGGAUAAGCCUGGGAAACUGGGUCUAAUACCGGAUAGGAGCCAUUUUUAGUGUGAUGGUUGGAAAGUUUUUUCGGUGUAGGAUGAGCUCGCGGCCUAUCAGCUUGUUGGUGGGGUAAUGGCCUACCAAGGCGGCGACGGGUAGCCGGCCUGAGAGGGUGGACGGCCACAUUGGGACUGAGAUGCGGCCCAGACUCCUACGGGAGGCAGCAGUGGGGAAUAUUGCACAAUGGGCGCAAGCCUGAUGCAGCGACGCCGCGUGGGGGAUGACGGCCUUCGGGUUGUAAACUCCUUUCGCUAGGGACGAAGCUUUUUGUGACGGUACCUAGAUAAGAAGCACCGGCUAACUACGUG
Molecule: ribosomal RNA, 465 nt
Filed under: uncultured bacterium
Lineage: Bacteria
Description: partial 16S ribosomal RNA
Rfam family: Bacterial small subunit ribosomal RNA
Source: RNAcentral